This 389-nucleotide ribosomal RNA is filed under the name uncultured bacterium. RNAcentral's name for it is "bacterial SSU rRNA". It matches the Rfam family "Bacterial small subunit ribosomal RNA", at positions 28 to 416 of the family's 1533-position model. The record is from RNAcentral.
GACGAACGCUGGCGGCGUGCUUAACACAUGCAAGUCGAGCGGUAAGGCCCUUUCGGGGGUACGACGAGCGGCGAACGGGUGAGUAACACGUGGGUGACCUGCCCUUACGCUCUGGGAUAAGCCUGGGAAACUAGGGUCUAAUACCGGAUAUGACUCCAUGACGCAUGUUGUGGGGUGGAAAGCCUUGUGCGGCUAGGGAUGGGCCUGCGGCCUAUCAGCUUGUUGGUGGGGUGAUGGCCUACCAAGGCGACGACGGGUAGCCGGCCUGAGAGGGCGACCGGCCACACUGGGACUGAGACACGGCCCAGACUCCUACGGGAGGCAGCAGUGGGGAAUCUUGCGCAAUGGGCGAAAGCCUGACGCAGCGACGCCGCGUGGGGAUGACGGCC